This 552-nucleotide ribosomal RNA is filed under the name uncultured bacterium. RNAcentral describes it as "bacterial SSU rRNA". It matches the Rfam family "Bacterial small subunit ribosomal RNA", at positions 350 to 916 of the family's 1533-position model. The record is from RNAcentral.
AGCAGCAAGGAAUCUUCGGCAAUGGGCGCAAGCCUGACCGAGCAACGCCGCGUGGAGGACGACGGCCUUCGGGUUGUAAACUCCUUUUCGUGGGGACGACCGGGACGGUACCCACGGAAUAAGCCCCGGCUAACUCUGUGCCAGCAGCCGCGGUAAGACAGAGGGGGCAAGCGUUGUCCGGAUUUACUGGGCGUACAGCGCGCGCAGGCGGCUCGCCAGGAACCCGGUGACAGUCUCCCGCUCAAUGGGAGGAGGUCUGGGUUGACCGGCGGGCUGGAGGCCGUGAGAGGGUGAUGGAACGCCCGGUGGAGCGGUGAAAUGCGUAGAGAUCGGGCAGAACACCAGUGGGGAAGCCGGUCACCUGGCACGGACCUGACGCUGAGGCGCGACAGCGUGGGGAGCAAACGGGAUUAGAUACCCCGGUAGUCCACGCCGUAAACGAUGUGGAGCAGGUGUGGGGGCGUGAUUGCGCGCUUCCGUGCCGCAGCUUACGCGCUGACUCCACCGCCUGGGAACUACGGCCGCAAGGCUAAAACUCAAAUGAAUUGACGG